Molecule: long non-coding RNA, 476 nt
Organism: Oncorhynchus tshawytscha (Chinook salmon)
Lineage: Eukaryota; Metazoa; Chordata; Actinopteri; Salmoniformes; Salmonidae
Source: Ensembl
GUGGAGUGGUUUGUCUGUCUCAUUCUUUCUGUCUCCUUAACAGUGAGUCAACAUGAUCAGAAUUCUUAUCUCCAUCACCAUGGGUUACACAGCCUGGGCUGCAGGUUCUUCUCUCAGUAACCAGGUUGACCAAACACCUGCAUCCCUGUACAAGAACCAGGGAGAGUUGGCUAUGAUGGAGUGUUCACAUAGUAUAUCAGGCUAUAAUCUCAUCCUCUGGUACAAGCAGUCCAACUACAGAGAAUUAGUGCUAUUAGGAUACAUGACAGCGAAAACUGCAUUUCCUGAGGCUGGAUUUGAUAUAGAAGGAGAUGCUAAUGCAGGUGGUACCAGCACCUUAACCAUCAAACAACUAACUCCAAAUAGCAGUGCUGUGUAUUACUGUGCUGCUAGUUUACACAGUGCAUCAGAUCUCCCUCUCUGCUCUACAAAAACCUCCUCCCUGGUGUACUGCAGACUAAUCACACCUGUAUUAA